Molecule: ribosomal RNA, 252 nt
Filed under: uncultured bacterium
Lineage: Bacteria
Description: partial 16S ribosomal RNA
Source: RNAcentral
CUGCUGCCUCCCGUAGGAGUUUGGGCCGUGUCUCAGUCCCAAUGUGGCCGUUCACCCUCUCAGGCCGGCUACUGAUCGUCGCCUUGGUGGGCUUCUACCCCGCCAACCAGCUAAUCAGACGCGGAUCCAUCUUACACCACCGGAGUUUUUCACACUGAGCCAUGCGGCUCUGUGCGCUUAUGCGGUAUUAGCACCUAUUUCUAAGUGUUAUCCCCCAGUGUAAGGCAGGUUAUCCACGCAUUACUCACCCCG